RNAcentral lists this ribosomal RNA (439 nucleotides) under Vicia bithynica. Its description in RNAcentral is "eukaryotic LSU rRNA". The stretch from base 299 to 439 matches the Rfam family "Eukaryotic large subunit ribosomal RNA", at positions 1 to 141 of the family's 3401-position model. The record is from RNAcentral. Lineage: Eukaryota; Viridiplantae; Streptophyta; Magnoliopsida; Fabales; Fabaceae.
UGCAGAAUCCCGUGAACCAUCGAGUCUUUGAACGCAAGUUGCGCCCGAUGCCAUUAGGUUGAGGGCACGUCUGCCUGGGUGUCACAUAUCGAAGCCUCCUGCCAAUAUCCCUUUGAUUAUUGUGCAGGGCGGAUGUUGGCCUCCCGUGAGCUCUUUAGUCUCAUGGUUGGUUGAAAAUUGAGACCUUGGUGGGGUGUGCCAUGAUAGAUGGUGGUUGUGCGACCCACGAGACCAAUCAUGUGCUGCUCUAUUGAAUUUGGCCUCUUUUACCCAUAUGCGUUUCUAAACGCUCGUGAUGAGACCUCAGGUCAGGCGGGGCUACCCGCUGAAUUUAAGCAUAUCAAUAAGCGGAGGAAAAGAAACUAACAAGGAUUCCCUUAGUAACGGCGAGCGAACCGGGAUAAGCCCACCAUGAGAAUCGGUCGCCUUUGGCGUUCGA